Molecule: transfer RNA, 73 nt
Filed under: Stegodyphus mimosarum
Lineage: Eukaryota; Metazoa; Arthropoda; Arachnida; Araneae; Eresidae
Rfam family: tRNA
About the family: Transfer RNA (tRNA) molecules are approximately 80 nucleotides in length. Their secondary structure includes four short double-helical elements and three loops (D, anti-codon, and T loops).
Source: Rfam by way of RNAcentral
GUCUUCGUGGUGUAGUGGUCAGCACGCUGGGCGCGUAUUCCAGAGGUCUGUGGUUCGAUUCUCGGCGAAGGCG